AGGGUUUGAUCCUGGCUCAGAUUGAACGCUGGCGGUAUGCUUAACACAUGCAAGUCGAACGGUAACAUAGCUAGCUUGCUAGCUGAUGACGAGUGGCGGACGGGUGAGUAAUGCAUAGGAAUCUGCCUAUUAGUGGGGGACAACCUGUGGAAACGCAGGCUAAUACCGCAUAAGCCCUACGGGGGAAAGCGGGGGAUCUUCGGACCUCGCGCUAAUAGAUGAGCCUAUGUCAGAUUAGCUAGUUGGUGAGGUAAUGGCUCACCAAGGCGACGAUCUGUAGCUGGUCUGAGAGGAUGAUCAGCCACACUGGGACUGAGACACGGCCCAGACUCCUACGGGAGGCAGCAGUGGGGAAUAUUGGACAAUGGGCGAAAGCCUGAUCCAGCAAUACCGCGUGUGUGAAGAAGGCCUGAGGGUUGUAAAGCACUUUCAAUAGUGAGGAAUACCUGGGGGUUAACACUCCCCAGACUGACAUUAGC
Molecule: ribosomal RNA, 479 nt
Filed under: uncultured bacterium
Lineage: Bacteria
Description: bacterial SSU rRNA
Rfam family: Bacterial small subunit ribosomal RNA
Source: RNAcentral